AGUUCGAUUAUGGCUCAGAUUGAACGCUGGCGGGAAGUGCUUUACACAUGCAAGUCGAACGGCAGCACGGACUUCGGUCUGGUGGCGAGUGGCGAACGGGUGAGUAAUGUAUCGGAACGUGCUCUAGUAGCGGGGGAUAACUACGCGAAAGCAGGGGCCAAUACCGCAUACCGCCCUUCGGGGGAAAGCGGGGGACCUUCGGGCCCUUCGCACUAUUAGAGAGCGGCUGAUAUCGGAUUAGCUAGUUGGUGGGGUAACGGCUCACCAUGACGAUCCGUAGCUGGUUUGAGAGGAUGAUCAGCCAUACUGGGACCGAGAGCACGCCCAGACUCUACGGAGGCAGCAGUGGGGAAUUUUGGACAAUGGGGGAAACUCCUGAUCCAGCCGGUCUCAAGGUGUGCGAUGAAGGCCUUCGGCCAGGAAAAGCACUUUUGGCAGGAAGAAACGGCACGGGAUAAUACCCCGUGCAGCAACUGACGGUACCUGCAGAAUAAGCACUGGCUAACUACAAAACAGCAGCCGCGGUAAUACGUAGGGUGCAAGCGUUAAUCGGAAUUACUGGGCGAAGCGUGCGCAGGCGGUUCGGAAAGAAAGAUGUGAAAUCCCAGAGCUGAACUUUGGAACUGCAUUUUUAACUACCGAGCUAGAGUGUGUCAGAGGGAGGUGGAAUUCCGCGUGUAGCAGUGAAAUGCGUAGAUAUGCGGAGGAACACCGAUGGCGAAGGCAGCUCUCCUGGGAUAACACUGACGCUCAUGCACGAAAGCGUGGGGAGCAAACAGGAUUAGAUACCCUGUAGUCCACGCCCUAAACGAUGUCAACUAGCUGUUGGGGCCUUCGGGCCUGGUAGCGCAGCUGACUGCGAAGUUGACCGCCUGGGGAGUACGGUCGCAAGAUUAAAACUCAAAGGAAUUGAUGACCCGCACAAGCGGUGGAUGAUGUGGAUUAAUUCGAUGCAACGCGAAAAACCUUACCUACCCUUGACAUGUCUGGAACUGAAGAGAUUUGGGAGUGCUCGCAAGAGAACCGAACACAGGUGCUGCAUGGCUGUCGUCAGCUCGUGUCGUGAGAUGUUGGGUUAAGUCCCGCAACGAGCGCAACCCUUGUCAUUAGUUGCUACGGAAAGGGCACUCUAAUGAGACUGCCGGUGACAAACCGAGGAAGGUGGGGAUGCAGACAAGUCCUCAUGGCCCUUAUGGGUAGGGCUUCACACGUCAUACAAUGGUCGGGACAGAGGGUCGCCAACCCGCGAGGGGGAGCCAAUCCCAGAAACCCGAUCGUAGUCCGGAUCGCAGUCUGCAACUCGACUGCGUGAAGUCGGAAUCGCUAGUAAUCGCGGAUCAGCAUGUCGCGGUGAAUACGUUCCCGGGUCUUGUACACACCGCCCGUCACACCAUGGGAGUGGGUUUUACCAGAAGUAGUUAGCCUAACCGUAAGGGAGGGCGAUUACCACGGUAGGAUUCAUGACUGGUACAAGUCAACAAGGUAA
Molecule: ribosomal RNA, 1486 nt
Filed under: uncultured Bordetella sp.
Lineage: Bacteria; Pseudomonadati; Pseudomonadota; Betaproteobacteria; Burkholderiales; Alcaligenaceae
Description: partial 16S-23S ribosomal RNA intergenic spacer
Rfam family: Bacterial small subunit ribosomal RNA
Source: RNAcentral